AUCCCGCCCCCCCUCUCCUCUCUUCCUCUCUCCUCUUCCCCUUUCUCCUGCACCAACCCCUUCAGAGGGAUGUGCAGAACAAAUGCCCUGCUCUGUUCCUCCCUCCUCACUUCCCCAGCUAUCUCCUGUCUCACUCUUUCUCUGUCUGUCUCUUGUUCUGUCAUUCAUUCUUCGUCUUUCUCUGUGCGGUCUGUUAGGAGUAUUCCUCUCCAUCUCUCAUUUUUCUGUCUCUUCUUCUCCUCAUCCAUCCGUCAGUCCGUCUCUGUUUCUCAGACCAACAUGCUUUCCGUAGCUCUGUCUGGUGUGCUGGAUGUCUGUUUAGAAGAUGCCAUUCAGGCCGCUCUAAUAGUUUUUUCUUUUAUUUUUGUCCUGUUUUCCCUCCUCGUUCCGUAGUUUAGUGGUGUCUGCCUAGUCCGUGCUUUUAUUUUUUUGUUUCCUUCCUCCCGGGUUGUGGGACCAGGUCACGCUGAUCCUCAUCCUUCCACACCCCCUCUGUCCUCCAACAUCCCAAUCACCGAGCCCCACCGCCCCAUCCUCCACCCGCCCACCUUGGCUGUCUGGUGCCCAGGGAUGUCGCAGAGUUAGCCUAGGCCAAAGAGGAAGGGAGGAGAGAGAAACGGGUGGGUGGCUGAAGGGAGAGACCUUCACUGUGGGUGUCGCGGUGUUUUAUACACCACCAACACCCAACUCACCCAACAGCUGCAGGUCACAAAGGCUUCUAUGUAAGAAGGAUUUUCAAGGACCACAAGGACUUCUCAGGCCCACAUGUAAUUUAUUAAAAACCGUUAUACAGUAAUACAAUGCUAGAUUUGCUUUGGAUAAUCCUUCUUCCUGUGAUUCUUCCUUAGAUUUUAACAAUUCCUAGAGGCUGAGUUUCCCUAAAGCAGAACAACUUCUAAUAAACGUUUUUGAAAGAAGAGACCAGAGCCUCAGUGCUUUGCUCAUAAAAGGAGCAAAACAAUUGGCCAGCUUCACUCUCACUUUCAUUUUCUGCUAAUUUAGUGUGCUAUGCUACACUUCUUCAGCGUUUUAUCAGAAGAAGUUAAAGGUGAACAACCUUUCCUUGAUUGUAAACCUAUUAAAGACCCACUCCAAUCAUCUUUUGACCUAUAUUCAAAGUGUUCACAGCGGUCUUUUAAUUAUGAUUAUGCAGUUUUUAGACCAAGUCAGAACGUUUUCUAUAUUGUGGGCAGGAUUGUUGGUGCAGAGUAAACCUGCACUCAUUUCCCAUCAUGCCUUAGUUUACUACACUGUAAAAAGUCUUCAAGGGGAAUCGUUCAUGUAGCACUAUUUAUUUAAGUACAUUUAUUACAAAAAUGUAGUUAAACACAUUAUUCUGUAUUAAUUAGGUUCUCUAAAAGUAAUUUGUUGCUCAAAAUUGACUAACAACAAAUGAGAUCACUGAACUACAGCACAAUUCUAAUUUCUUAAAACUCAAUUUUAAUAAAUUCAUUCCAACUUAAAUGUAACCAACCUGGACUAGUUUGGACUUGCUCUGCACGUCCUCACAAAGAACUGCUUUUAUGGACUUUGUUGCACAUCGUGCUGGAAUAAAAGGUAUGUAGUGUUUUUUGCGAGUCAUAUUUAUGUUGACUUUAAUAACCUAUGUUGUAAGCCUUAUUAAAAAGCAUUAUUAUUUGGUUCACAUUUAGUUUAUGGUUUUAAAUAUUAGCUUCUCUAAACUCAGUCAGUUACCUUUAGCAGUACAUUAACACUGUGCUUAAUCAAAGAAAUAUAGUUUGUAGAGAUGCUUUUAGUCUUUAUCGUUUCUAAGUUUAGGGUUAAAACAGCAUCAGUGCUCAAAUCAAUAACUAUGUUUUUAUUGUGGAUAGUUUGUAAUUAAGGGUUUCAAAGCUAACCCAAAUACAUGACAGUGAAAGAAGUGUUGAAGACGAAGAUUUAGGAAAAUUAAAAUUAAAAACUUUAAACAAUUGUUGCUAAUCAUGUGAUGCUUGGUCUUUCAGUGAGGUGACUGUGGAGUGGAGGAAUGUCACAGCCGGCAGAGUUUGUUCAGUGCUGAAGCAAAAUAAAAGAAGAGUUGCUGUUCACUGGAACCAUGAUUGAGUUGGAUCGGCACAGCCAAAAACAUCUAAACGUGUUCAGUGACAAAGGGGGAGCAGUGGCCCGGCCAUUCAAAAACCUGAUGGUUUUUAAUUCCCGAAAAUAUUGUGUAAAAAACAUUCAAUUGUUCAUUUGAUGAGAUUUUGCUGUCUUGGUAAUUCACUUUUUCUUGCAUUCAAAACUAAUUAACAUAAACGUCCAUGCACGAGGUGCUGGAGGCAGAAGGAAGAUUUUCCUCUGCCGUGCACCAGAUGCAGCAGGAAGCAUCAGGAGUUCCUGUUCUUACAAACAUUUUUGAAGGGCCUGCUGUUUGCUGGUUUGGGAUCCACCAAGACUAAAAUAAUCUGUGAAGUUUUUCAAAGGCUAUUGUUCUCUCUAAAUUCUCCCUGUUUUUUGUGUUUUUGUUUAAAUGUUGACAAUUUGACUGAAUUAUGUUAUGACUAAAUUUUAGAGUACUUUUACAAUCAUAACUCUGCAAACUGAAUAAAUCCUUUCAAAAUAAAAGA
Molecule: non-coding RNA, 2567 nt
Organism: Oryzias latipes (Japanese medaka)
Lineage: Eukaryota; Metazoa; Chordata; Actinopteri; Beloniformes; Adrianichthyidae
Source: RefSeq, a predicted model, not a curated record